This 2111-nucleotide long non-coding RNA is filed under the name Fukomys damarensis (Damara mole-rat). Its description in RNAcentral is "lncRNA (ENSFDAG00000023161.1)". Lineage: Eukaryota; Metazoa; Chordata; Mammalia; Rodentia; Bathyergidae. The record is from RNAcentral.
GGCGGCCGGGAGGAAGGAGGGAGUGCGGCGGGCAGGCGGAGGGAGGGCUGAUUAGCAUGCAGCAGCGCUCGCGCGCCCGGCUCCAUUGUUUUAACACCUCCCCUCUCCUCCGCGCCAAUCUGUCACCGUUCAGCAGGCGAACGCUGCUGCCUCAAAUGCUGCUCUUCUCAAAUGAGACGGAUAAUUAGUUGCCCCGCACGAAUGCCGCACUCUUCUCACCCCUGAUUGCUAUCACCUUCUUGCUCCUGGCAGUUUUGACACCUCGUAAUCAGCCUGCUGCUUUUCUCUUUUCUUCCCGACUUCUGCUUCCCUCCCCCCUUUCCUUCCUAGUUGAUUUAUUUAUUUAUUAUUAUUAUUAUUUUAAAUGCAAUCCCGGUGCCUAUCUGGACGAGCCCUCUGCGAGUUAACCUCCGCGCACACACGCACGCCUCUCUGUAUAUGCAAACCGCGGCGCGUGUGCGUGAGCGCGGGGCGGGCUGCGGGGAACGCGGCUUCCACUCGGAAUUUUCUCCCAAAGAUAUUUUUGGGAAGGGAGGAGUUGAGGGGGACGGGAGGGAAGAGUUGGGGAGACCUCAAUUAAUGCUUUAAAGAUCUCUUAGAAAUUAAACCGGGGAGUCUCGGAAUCUGCUGUCAGAAGCCUGUUUCCCCCUCUCCCCUAACAAGCACUGACAGUCUAAUUACUGUAGCUACAAGCAGCUGUCGAGGCAGCAGCCCGGAGAGAAGGAGCCACAGGCUGAGCGCCCCCCACCGGCCGUCCCCUGCACCCGAAGAUCCCGAACUGGCCCGACGCCGGCAGCACGAAAAGGAGGCCGAGGCUCAGCCCCGACAGCCCGGGCGGGCCCGGGAGCCAGCGGACUCGCUUAGGAUUUCAUAUUUAUAAAGUCUUUACCUUGAAGACUCAGCGUUUUGCGGGUGCAGCUUUUUUACCUGGGCGCUGUUCUUACCCGGACACGCUUAGCAGAUGCCAAGAGGCAGCCCCUGCACGACUCUGUAUGACACAAGAGGGUCAGACCGCAGGUGCCCAAAUAUUCCACCUUUCAAGCUGCAGCCAGCGCCGAGAGCACAGUGGCCUGGAAGGGUCUCCCUCUCUCAGAAGUUGGAGCUUGGAGUACCCCAGGUACCCCAAAGAGAAUACAGUUCCUAAUUCCUAUUUAAAAGUUGUCAAGGUGGGAAAAGGAUGAACUGGAGAAAAGGGGUCAGUGGCUCACUUUCCUUUUCUGGGCUGGUUUUCUUAGGUGGUUAGCAAACUAGUAGAAAUCAAGUGUGCAAGAGGGACUCAAUGAAAGGCAAGAGAAAAUAAUCCUCUUUCGAAAAAUAGGUAUGGUGGUAUAUUCUGGCUGGUACACACCAAGAAGUUUCAGCUUUAAUUGUGUGCGUGUGUGUGUGUGUGUGUGUGUGUGUGAGAGAGAGAGAGAGAGAGAGAGAGAGAGAGAGAGAGAGAGAGAGACAGAGGGGGGAAGGGAGGAGCCUUGGAUAAUUGUCUAGGCAUUCAGCCCCAAUGGCAAUGGAAAAUGAUGUACAUGCCUCAGAACCCUUCACAGUGAAUACCUAAUAAUCGCUAUGUCACCUUGGUGAGGAAGAUGUCAAUGUGAUGUGCUUGGCACCCUGAGAAGUCCAGGCACCACUCUCAUUCUCCCACAAGUUAAGGCUGAUCACUGCAGCACUGGGGCCUGUUCGAAUUCCCCCAUCCCAAACCCUCCGGUUCAAAACACUUACUUCAUGAAGUCUUAAAUUUCUGUUUGAGAGCUGCAAAUCUGUUUAUUUCCUAGAAUGGAGGCCAUGCCUCAGAUCUUUUGAAAAAUCAGGGUAAAAGAGAAAUGUAAAAGGCAAGAAUCAUAAGGAAAAUAAAUGAAAGGGAAGUCUCAUUUUGAACCAAUUUUCAGUGCUUUGAAUUUGGUGUCCUCUCUAACGGCUUCCAGUGGCCACCAAUCAGGCUGCUAACGAUGAAUAACGAAUUUCUCAACAAGAAUGUCAAUGUUCUAAUCUAAAUUAAUAAAUAUGGAUAGUCCUUACAGGGUUGUAUAUUUGUUCACAUUAAAAGCUAAUACUUUCGAAAAUUUACUUCAAAAAAUGAUUUCAAAAUUCAAAGUGACUUACUAAUUACAAUAAAU